Long non-coding RNA from Dendroctonus ponderosae (mountain pine beetle), 1052 nucleotides. RefSeq lists it as uncharacterized. The transcript is spliced from 2 exons. NCBI's taxonomy places the organism in Eukaryota, Metazoa, Arthropoda, Insecta, Coleoptera, Curculionidae. The record is from RefSeq and is a predicted model, not a curated record.
UCCUUGGUUGGUAGUAGAUCAGUAGCAAGAACAUUUUGCUGAGUAUUUUAUACGCUCGCAGUGUUGAUUAUAAAUGCAUGUAAAAUUUUAUAUCAACCUAUGUUUUUAAAACUCUUAAAGUAUUGCAUAUCUAUGUAGUACGCGUUGGAUAUGGAAUAAUAUGUUAACAAUGUAAUGCAGAUGCCUGUCCCCCUUUUAACAUGAAUACCUUUGAAAUUCUUGCAAAACUGCCACUCUACAUGCAGAUAUCGGAGCCAAAGCGGCCACUGCGUUGUCUGUUUCGUGCUGUGGGAUAUUUUCGGUAUUUCUGAUACUGAUAAUCGUGUUCUGUACUGCAAGUGACCAUUUGGCUAACAAUAAAAGUCGAAACGAGAAGAUUGGGAAAUUCUAUCAGGCAGAUUGUUUUGAUAUAUGAAACUCGUAAAAUUCAUUGAUAUGGCAAUGUGUACUAUAUACUACCAUAUUAACAACAAAUGCACUUUGACUGAGUGUCUAAAAUUGGUAUACAUUAAUUCAUUCUUAGUUUCCUAAAGCUAAAUCAUAGUUUUUAAUUUACCGUUUCAUAAAAAUUCGUUCUUUUUAAACUCUUUACAAACCCCUUUCAUUGAAAAACUACACCAUUUUGUAUUGAACCACGCAAACUGAAAUCCCUUCAUUAUUAGUGUCUAUUUUGUUGCUUGAUAACAGUUUCAAUUUUGGAGUGACAUGUUAGUUUUUAGUUUGAGUUAAUAAAAUUCAACAUUCCUAAUUAGGGCUCAAACCCUUAAAUUAUAUAAUAAAAUAAGGGCAGAAAAAUUUGUGAAAAAUAUCUAAAUUAUUUAAGUUCAUAUAUCUUUCGCUGUUCGCUGUUGGGGCGGAGAUAACACGGAUGGACGUGAUAUUAUGGGAUAGUGAUGCGUCUCAAACAGCCUCUCCUGUCCAAAUGUCAACCUCACCUACAUGCGGUGGACCCUGCUUUGUACAGACUAGGCUUUGAGGACCGAGGCACAUAUUCAUGCUAGAAUUAGGACCGCUUCUCAUUUGGAUAUUAAAAAAAAGUGGAUUAAUGGUAA